This 419-nucleotide ribosomal RNA is filed under the name uncultured bacterium. RNAcentral describes it as "bacterial SSU rRNA". It matches the Rfam family "Bacterial small subunit ribosomal RNA", at positions 358 to 775 of the family's 1533-position model. The record is from RNAcentral.
GGAAUAUUGGGCAAUGGCCGAGAGGCUGACCCAGCCAUGCCGCGUGCAGGAAGAAGGCCUUCUGGGUUGUAAACUGCUUUUAUACGGGAAGAAAACGCCCCUGCGGGGGUAACUGACGGUACCGUGUGAAUAAGCACCGGCUAACUCCGUGCCAGCAGCCGCGGUAAUACGGAGGGUGCAAGCGUUGUCCGGAUUUAUUGGGUUUAAAGGGUGCGUAGGCGGCCCGUUAAGUCAGCGGUGAAAUCCCACGGUUCAACCGUGGAACUGCCGUUGAUACUGGCGGGCUUGAGUUCGGUCGAGGCGGGCGGAACUGGCGGUGUAGCGGUGAAAUGCUUAGAUACCGCCAAGAACCCCGAUUGCGUAGGCAGCUCGCUGGGCCGAAACUGACGCUGAGGCACGAAAGCGUGGGGAGCGAACAG